Canis lupus familiaris (dog) is the source of this 593-nucleotide long non-coding RNA. RefSeq lists it as uncharacterized. The transcript has 3 exons. Lineage: Eukaryota; Metazoa; Chordata; Mammalia; Carnivora; Canidae. The record is from RefSeq and is a predicted model, not a curated record.
CACGGGGCCCAGCCAGAGCGUCCUGACCACCCUCCCCGAGGGGGUGCCCGGGAGUGUGGCCCUCAGGGAAGCAAUGUUCCCAAUCCAUCCUGACUGUCACUCCCUGCGAGCCAGCCAGACCUGCCCUGGGAGUCGUCACCUUCAGACUGCUCGUCCUAGAUUCUCAUUCUGCGCUGCCCUGAGAGCCGGUUCAGCCUGCAGCCAGUCAUUGCCCCUCUCCUGGCCUGCUUCCUCCUGACAGAAGGAAAAGGGCUGGGGAUAAGGAAGCAGAAGGAGGCUGGUGACCUGGGGGCAUGCCUGGAGAAGCAGCCUGACACACAGACCCACCAGCAUCGUGGAGCCAGAUGAAUCAACGGGAUCUGACACAGCUCCCUCCCAACAAGAAUGUGUGGAACACAAAGGAUGGGCCCCUCAUCUCUCUCCUGCUUGCUCGCUGAUACUCUGGCCAGCACUCUGACACCAUAGUGAUGACAUUAGACCCCAUUUUUCCCCCAAGUUAUAAUGUUUAUGAGUCCAAAUGUCAGCAUUUGUUUCUUAAGCCAUCAAACUGAAUUCAUGAUUGUGUGGAUUAGAUAAACACUCUCACUAAAUCA